AACGCUGGCGGCGUGCUUAACACAUGCAAGUCGAACGAGGAACGGGUUAUAGCUUGCUAUAACUGUCAGACUAAGUGGCGCGACGGGUGAGUAAUAUAUAGGUAACGUCGCCCUAGAGAGGGGGGAUAACAGUUGGAAACGAUUGCUAACACCCCAUAUGCCUUUAAGACUUAAGUCUGCAAGGGAAAUAUUUAUAGCUCUAGGAUCGGCCUGUACAGUAUCAGUUAGUUGGUGAGGUAAUGGCUCACCAAGACAAUGACGCUUAACUAGUUUGAGAGGAUGAUCAGUCACACUGGAACUGAGACACGGUCCAGACUCCUACGGGAGGCAGCAGGUGGGGAAUAUUGCACAAUGGACGAAAGUCUGAUGCAGCAACGCCGCGUGGAGGAUGACACAUUUCGGUGCGUAAACUCCUUUUAUAUAGGAAGAUAAUGACGGUACUAUAUGAAUAAGCACCGGCUAACUCCGUG
RNAcentral lists this ribosomal RNA (470 nucleotides) under uncultured bacterium. RNAcentral describes it as "bacterial SSU rRNA". It matches the Rfam family "Bacterial small subunit ribosomal RNA", at positions 32 to 507 of the family's 1533-position model. The record is from RNAcentral.